AAGUCGUAACAAGGUUUCCGUAGGUGAACCUGCGGAAGGAUCAUUAACGAGUGAGGGUCUCCCAGGCCCGACCUCCCAACCCCAUGUUUAUUGAACCUCUGUUGCUUCGGCGGACCCGUCUCACGGCCGCCGGAGGACCGCCGCGAGGCGUCCUCUGGCCCGCGUCCGCCGGUGGCCAACCAUCGAAACCCUGAAUUAAAUCGUGAUGUCUAAGUCUUAUGAUUAAAUUAAAGCAAAACUUUCAACAACGGAUCUCUUGGUUCUG
RNAcentral lists this unclassified non-coding RNA (265 nucleotides) under air metagenome. RNAcentral describes it as "partial contains small subunit ribosomal RNA, internal transcribed spacer 1, and 5.8S ribosomal RNA". The stretch from base 1 to 46 matches the Rfam family "Eukaryotic small subunit ribosomal RNA", at positions 1786 to 1831 of the family's 1831-position model. The record is from RNAcentral.